This 1230-nucleotide ribosomal RNA is filed under the name Triticum aestivum (bread wheat). RNAcentral describes it as "partial small subunit ribosomal RNA". Lineage: Eukaryota; Viridiplantae; Streptophyta; Magnoliopsida; Poales; Poaceae. The record is from RNAcentral.
AAAAAAUGUUUUUACAGGGACGCCAAACGACUUUAGUUGGGCGUCAUGAUGUCCUUAGUUCAUUUUUUUUAGAGAGCGACCGUGUUAAGGAGCGGGCUCAGGCUCCGGCGGCAGCGGGAGGGGCCGGAACGGGCACGGUGGUAGAGGGACGGGCAGGAAAGGGCCGCCGCGCGCGCGGGCGGCGGGACGAUCGCAAGGUAAGUGAGGAAAAAGUUUCCCUCUUUUUUUGUACUUGUCUGUACUCCUGCCUGAGAAGGAGCGGAGACCUAGGAUAUGCGAGUUAGGCGACGGCCGGCGACGGCCCCUAGCGUAGUGGGCCGUGGUGGCAAGGCGAAGUCGAGGAGAGUGGUCGCGCGGGCUCGAGGAAGAGAGGGACGGAAUCCUUGGUUCAGAACACGGACACGAUUUUAAAGUCUAAUUUUAAUUAUCAGGGUGGACGAGAUAAUGUAUUUUAGGUUGGUUGAAUAAAGUACGUAAUGUUCUAGUUGUUCGGUUGUUUUUCGCCUACUCUACAAGUACAAAUGGGAUCUCUUUAGUUCUUUCGACGGACGGCGUAGAUGAUAUACGCAGUGGUUAACUUUUACUCGUUUCUCCUCUACGUGUACUUACGCAGUGGUUAACUUUUACUCGUUUCUCCUCUACGUGUACUUAGGUUUCUUUUCGUGGUAAGCCACGGUUCGGAUUAUCUUUCUUUACAGAAUCGAAUUAACGGUAAACUCGAUUAUUAGGAUUUCUUCCUCUCUCUCGGCUUGACUUCUAUGUCUCUUUUAACUACGGGUAACGACCAUGUCUCUGGUCGAGUACCUUCUCUUUUGGCCCCGGAUCCCCGAAAGUGGCCUCCGUUGAAGCCGUGAGGGUGUAGGCACCGGUGGCCGUCUGCUCGUGGUGGUGGUCUGGCGGGGGGCGCGCACGACCGGUCGGCGGUCUAGACCGCGUUGGCUCGGGGUCACGCGGCUGCUCGUCAGGUGGUUGCGGGGUCGGCAUCGGUCUUUCGUGCCGCUGCGACAGUCGACCCUACACCGAGUCCGGUCGGUGGCGCCGGUUCUUAUCCUUUCGUUGUGAACCCACCACUCCGCCUACCUCUUCUCCUCUUCUCCUCCUCCUCGUUGCUACCCACCAGUCCGUCGUCCUCCUUCUACCUCCGACUCGCCGCGAACCCACUACUCCUUACCGCUGCACAACACCUAUUCUUCCCUGUGGGUCACCCGCCACUGUAGCCACCCCUAAACC